GACGAACGCUGGCGGCGUGCUUAACACAUGCAAGUCGAACGGAAAGGCCCUGCUUUUGUGGGGUGCUCGAGUGGCGAACGGGUGAGUAACACGUGAGUAACCUGCCCUUGACUUUGGGAUAACUUCAGGAAACUGGGGCUAAUACCGGAUAGGAGCUCCUGCUGCAUGGUGGGGGUUGGAAAGUUUCGGCGGUUGGGGAUGGACUCGCGGCUUAUCAGCUUGUUGGUGGGGUAGUGGCUUACCAAGGCUUUGACGGGUAGCCGGCCUGAGAGGGUGACCGGCCACAAUGGGACUGAGAUACGGCCCAGACUCCUACGGGAGGCAGCAGUGGGGAAUAUUGCACAAUGGGCGGAAGCCUGAUGCAGCAACGCCGCGUGCGGGAUGACGGCCUUCGGGUUGUAAACCGCUGUCGCCUGUGACGAAGCGUGAGUGACGGUAAUGGGUAAAGAAGCACCGGCUAACUACGUG
RNAcentral lists this ribosomal RNA (468 nucleotides) under uncultured bacterium. RNAcentral's name for it is "partial 16S ribosomal RNA". It matches the Rfam family "Bacterial small subunit ribosomal RNA", at positions 28 to 507 of the family's 1533-position model. The record is from RNAcentral.